CAAGCAGCCGCGUAAUCCGAGGAGCAAGGUAUCGGAUAUGGCGUAGGUCCGUAAGUGCCGAUCAAGUCGCUGUCAAGCGUGGAGCUCACUCAUCAGCCAGUGAACUGAUGCUAGAGUCGUAGGGUAGCGGGACUCCCCAGUGUAGCGUGAAUGCGUAGAGAUUGGGAAGAACAUCGGUGGCGAAAGCGCGCUACUGGGCCGGAACUGACACUGAGGGACGAAAGCUAGGGGAGCGAAAGGGAUUAGAUACCCCUGUAGUCCUAGCCGUAAACGAUGGAAACUAGGCGUGGCUUGUAUCGACCCGAGCCGUGCCGAAGCUAACGCGUUAAGUUUCCCGCCUGGGGAGUACGCACGCAAGUGUGAAACUCAAAGGAAUUGACGGGGGCCCGCACAAGCGGUGGAGUAUGUGGUUUAAUUCGAUGCAACGCGAAGAACCUUACCAGGACUUGACAUGUCGCGAAUCUCGGUGAAAGCUGAGAGUGCCUUCGGGAGCGCGAACACAGGUGCUGCAUGGCUGUCGUCAGCUCGUGUCGUGAGAUGUUGGGUUAAGUCCCGCAACGAGCGCAACCCUCGUUCUUAGUUGCCAGCAUUCAGUUGGGCACUCUAGGGAGACUGCCGGUGACAAACCGGAGGAAGGUGAGGAUGACGUCAAGUCAGCAUGGCCCUUACGUCCUGGGCGACACACGUACUACAAUGGUAGGGACAAAGGGCAGCGACCCCGCGAGGGUAAGCGAAUCUCAUCAAACCCUGCCUCAGUUCAGAUUGCAGGCUGCAACUCGCCUGCAUGAAGGAGGAAUCGCUAGUAAUCGCCGGUCAGUAUACGGCGGUGAAUCCGUUCCCGGGCCUUGUACACACCGCCCGUCACACCAUGGGAGCUGGCCACGCCCGAAGUCGUUACUCCAACCCCUCGUGGGAGGAGGAUGCCGAAGGCAGGGCUAGUGACUGGGGUGAAGUCGUAACAAGGUAGCCGUACCGGAAGGUGUGGCUGGAUCACCUCCUUUAGAGGGAGACCUACUGCUGAAAAAACCGAAACCCAAAAUAACUAGGUUAAUCAGUAGUCAUCCCAAGGUCGUGCAAGGGAAAUCUGGCAGGCUUUCAAACUAUUAAGUCGGUUCGGUUGACAUAGCGAACCAGACAUGGGCUAUUAGCUCAGGUGGUUAG
Molecule: small RNA, 1161 nt
Filed under: uncultured cyanobacterium
Lineage: Bacteria; Bacillati; Cyanobacteriota
Description: bacterial SSU rRNA
Rfam family: Bacterial small subunit ribosomal RNA (bases 1-1001)
Source: RNAcentral